GAUGAACGCUGGCGGCGUGCUUAACACAUGCAAGUCGAACGAUGAAGCCCAGCUUGCUGGGUGGAUUAGUGGCGAACGGGUGAGUAACACGUGAGUAACCUGCCCUUAACUCUUGGAUAAGCCUGGGAAACUGGGUCUAAUACCGGAUAGGAGCUUCCACCGCAUGGUGGGUGUUGGGAAGAUUAAUCGGUUUUGGAUGGACUCGCGGCCUAUCAGCUUGUUGGUGGGGUAGUGGCUCACCAAGGCGACGACGGGUAGCCGGCCUGAGAGGGAGAGCGGCGACCAUGGGACUGAGACACGGCCCAGACUCGUACGGGAGGCAGCAGUGGGGAGUAUUGCACAAUGGGCGCAAGCCUGAUGCAGCGACGCCGCGUGAGGGAUGACGGCCUUCGGGUUGUAAACCUCUUUCAGUAGGGAAGAAGCGAAAGUGACGGUACCUGCAGAAGAAGCACCGGCUAACUACGUG
This 466-nucleotide ribosomal RNA is filed under the name uncultured bacterium. RNAcentral's name for it is "partial 16S ribosomal RNA". It matches the Rfam family "Bacterial small subunit ribosomal RNA", at positions 28 to 507 of the family's 1533-position model. The record is from RNAcentral.